CUGAAACCGUGUACGUACAAGCAGUGGGAGCACGCUUAGGCGUGUGACUGCGUACCUUUUGUAUAAUGGGUCAGCGACUUAUAUUCUGUAGCAAGGUUAACCGAAUAGGGGAGCCGAAGGGAAACCGAGUCUUAACUGGGCGUUAAGUUGCAGGGUAUAGACCCGAAACCCGGUGAUCUAGCCAUGGGCAGGUUGAAGGUUGGGUAACACUAACUGGAGGACCGAACCGACUAAUGUUGAAAAAUUAGCGGAUGACUUGUGGCUGGGGGUGAAAGGCCAAUCAAACCGGGAGAUAGCUGGUUCUCCCCGAAAGCUAUUUAGGUAGCGCCUCGUGAAUUCAUCUCCGGGGGUAGAGCACU
RNAcentral lists this ribosomal RNA (359 nucleotides) under Shigella sonnei. RNAcentral's name for it is "partial 23S ribosomal RNA". It matches the Rfam family "Bacterial large subunit ribosomal RNA", at positions 550 to 911 of the family's 2925-position model. Lineage: Bacteria; Pseudomonadati; Pseudomonadota; Gammaproteobacteria; Enterobacterales; Enterobacteriaceae. The record is from RNAcentral.